GGGGGGACAGGUAUGACGAUGCUGGUGCCCAUCUCUCUGGGGCAUUCCGCCCCCUUUGGACUUCAUUGUCCCUGCUGUGUCACCAGGGGCCCUGCCACACCCUGCCUCCGAGUGUGUGGGGUCUGUACCUGCUUUGCCCCCACUGGCCGCUUUCUCCAGGACAGCCAUGAACAUCUCCAGUGUCCUCGGAGCAAGGAAGGAAUGCUUCCUGGAGCAGAAGUGGCCACAAUGACGCUAGGUCAGCAGAUGGCCGCAGAGGCCUGGGCAGUGACCGGUCGGAGAACAAAGCCUGAGGUGUUCCCAGGCCGGUUUCCACGGGAGUCUUGGCAGUGACCCGUGCACGGAGGAGACGCGUGCCUUCCUGGCCCCCCAGUUUGGAUUCCUGGUGCCUCUAAGGUCUGCUGAUGGCAGAGCUGCACCCGGGAUAUUGCCACGGUUUCUACAGGACUGAACAAAGGGGGACCAACGCAGAAAUGAAAACUUAAAACAAAAGUAAGUAUUUUAAAGGAAGGGGCCAGGGGAAGAAGAAGAGCACUCGCAGCUUCCGGUGAGCAUGAACAGCACCUGAGCUUCCACAGCCCUUCCUAUUUGUUGAGUAGAAUGAGCAGGGAGGAGGAGGUAAUGAUUGCUCAGCUGCUUAAUUGAUCACAGGUGCAUAUUAUUACUAACAGCCUUCAGAUGUGCCCUGUAGCUAAUCACAAGAAACACUUGUGCCUGGGUCGUGACUGCCUCAGUAUUCCUUCUGGGCGGCAGAAGCAGUUUGUCAGUUUACCAGUUUGCCAACGUUCUGCUUUUCUGAGAACAGUUUGCUGUUUACCCACAUACCCUCCAGUGGUAUACUGAGUUGAUCACCACCCUCACUUUCUGCAGCAGCCACUAAGGAAGGCGCAGAGGGACUUCCUUUCGGCCUGCAACAGUAUCUGUGCUGCCCAAGUGAGUAUGGAAUUUUAAAUUUUCAUUCUUAGUCUCUUCCUUCAUCCACUGGUCAUUCAGGAGCAUGUUGUUUAAUUUCCAUGUAUUUGUACAGUUUCAAAUGUUCCUCUUGUUAUUGCUUUCUGGUUUUGUUGCACUGUGGUCAGAUAAGAUACCUGGUAUCAUUUUGAUUUUUAAAACAUUGUAGAGACAUGUUUUGUGUCUUAACAUAUUGUCAAUCCUGGAGAAUCUCCCAUGUGCUGAUGAAAAGAAUGUAUUUUUCAGCUGUUGAGUGAAACGUUCUGUAAAGGUCUGUCAGGUCCAUUUGGUCUACGGUGUAGUUUCAAUCCAAUGUUUCUUUGUUAAUCUUCUAUCUAGAUGAUCUUUUUAAUGCUGAGAGAGGGGUUUUAGAGUCCAACUAUUAUUCUAUUGGGGUCUAUCUCUCCCUUUAGAUCUAUUAAUAAUAAUAUUUGCUUUAUAUACCUGGGUACCCUGGUGUUGGGUGCAUAUAUAUUUUUAAGUGUUAUAUUCCCUUGCCAAAUUAACCCCCUUAUUAUUAUACAGCGUCUUUGUCUCUUUUUAUAGCUUUUGAAGUCUGUUUUGUCUAAUAUAAGUACAGUUACUCCUGCUCACUUUUGGUUUCCAUUUUUGUGGAAUAUUUUUUUCCAUCCCUUCACUUUUAGCCUAUAUGUUUCUUCACACAUGAGGUGAGUUUCUUGUAGGCAGCGUAUAGCUGGGUCUUUUUAA
Molecule: long non-coding RNA, 1659 nt
Filed under: Homo sapiens (human)
Lineage: Eukaryota; Metazoa; Chordata; Mammalia; Primates; Hominidae
Description: HSALNT0274361
Source: RNAcentral